AGUGAACGCUGGCGGUAGGCCUAACACAUGCAAGUCGAACGGCAGCACAGUAAGAGCUUGCUCUUACGGGUGGCGAGUGUCGGACGGGUGAGGAAUACAUCGGAAUCUACUUUUUCGUGGGGGAUAACGUAGGGAAACUUACGCUAAUACCGCAUACGACCUACGGGUGAAAGCAGGGGAUCUUCGGACCUUGCGCGAUUGAAUGAGCCGAUGUCGGAUUAGCUAGUUGGCGGGGUAAAGGCCCACCAAGGCGACGAUCCGUAGCUGGUCUGAGAGGAUGGUCAGCCACACUGGAACUGAGACACGGUCCAGACUCCUACGGGAGGCAGCAGUGGGGAAUAUUGGACAAUGGGCGCAAGCCUGAUCCAGCCAUACCGCGUGGGUGAAGAAGGCCUUCGGGUUGUAAAGCCCUUUUGUUGGGAAAGAAAAGCAGCAGGUUAAUACCCCGCUGUUCUGACGGUACCCAAAGAAUAAGCACCGGCUAACUUCGUG
Molecule: ribosomal RNA, 492 nt
Filed under: uncultured bacterium
Lineage: Bacteria
Description: partial 16S ribosomal RNA
Rfam family: Bacterial small subunit ribosomal RNA
Source: RNAcentral